UAACAGCUCAAAUUUGAAAUCUGGCUCCUUCGGAGUCCGAGUUGUAAUUUGUAGAAGAUGCUUUGGGUUGUGGGCCCGGCCUAAGUUCCUUGGAACAGGACGUCAUAGAGGGUGAGAAUCCCGUAUGCGGCCAUGGCCCGCGCCUCUGUAAAGCUCUUUCGACGAGUCGAGUUGUUUGGGAAUGCAGCUCAAAAUGGGUGGUAAAUUUCAUCUAAAGCUAAAUAUGGGCCAGAGACCGAUAGCGCACAAGUAGAGUGAUCGAAAGAUGAAAAGCACUUUGGAAAGAGAGUUAAACAGUACGUGAAAUUGUUGAAAGGGAAGCGCUUGCAACCAGACUUGGGCGCUGCCGAUCACCCCGAGUUCUCUCGGGUGCACUCGACAGCGCACAGGCCAGCAUCGGUUCGGGUGGCUGGAGAAAGGCCGGAGGAAUGUAGCUCCCCUCGGGGAGUGUUAUAGCCUACGGCGCCAUGCAGCCCAGCCGGACCGAGGACCGCGCCUUCGGGCUAGGAUGCUGGCGUAAUGGUUGUAAGCGACCCG
Molecule: ribosomal RNA, 537 nt
Filed under: Erysiphe pisi
Lineage: Eukaryota; Fungi; Ascomycota; Leotiomycetes; Helotiales; Erysiphaceae
Description: eukaryotic LSU rRNA
Rfam family: Eukaryotic large subunit ribosomal RNA
Source: RNAcentral